GAGAGAAGGAUCGAGAGAGAAGCUCGAAGCUUCUGACCCGAAGGGAGAGCGCCGACCCGGAAGAGAAACCCGACCGGAAAUCUCACCUCCGGCCACCGUUGGCCGCGAAAUUUAUGUCUAUCGCCUCGUCUCGUCGUUGCCGUCACGCCUAUGGUCUUCGAUUGCCCAUGCACCGGACGAGGAGGGAGAAACGUCAGUGAGAAGGUCUGAGUCUCUCCGGCGAGUUCUGCAAUUUCCGGCCACCGUCGGAGCUGCAAGUGUCGGCCUUCGUUGGAGUUGCAGAGCACGGCGGCGAUUCUGGAGUUUUUGUGCUCGUUUUUGAAGUUGGUUCUCGUCCUAAAAAUCAAAAAGUGAUGCUCUGGUCCUUGCUGCACUUCGGACUAAAUGAGAGAACUGGGAUAUACCCUGCUCGAAGUUCACCGAGCACAGGGGCUGCAAGUUCAUGAUUUCUCAUGAUUUCUAUUAGCUCAAAUCGAGCUACUUUGAUUAUCAAAGGACUCCAAUUACCCGAGGAACAGAAGGUUCGCGACUCUCGGAGUACGUGAGAGAAAGCAUCGGAAUCCAGUAUGGAUGCAGGUACUGUGCACUGGUGACGGGACAAUGGCGGACCGAGCUGGGUGUGCGGAACAAGUUUGGUAAACCGGCUUCUGGGCUUUAUUCUGCUUUCUAUUUCUCGAACUUUGUGUCCCGGAAUUCUUGGGUCAAACGUAGUUAAAUUCCUAGUCCUUAAAUCUUGUGCCUCCUGAGUGAACAUGAGUCUGGACGAACAAAUUGAACUUAGCGUUCAAGGAUUUUCACCUCAAAAAUAUUGGUAGCUUCCGCUGUGUUUUACGAAAAGUUUUUCAAACAAAAUGCCUAGCGGUCCUCUAGAAUGUAAACUGAGUGUUUGGUUUAUGUUUUAGAGACUCGCGGCUCUGUAACGUGCUUAAGCUGGUGAGGUGCGGCUUGGGGCGUUACAAAAUCCAUAACUAACUGGCAUGAUUUCUGCAAUCAUCAGUUGGCUCCCCACGUUAGUAUGUCGCUGCUUUCCAA
Long non-coding RNA from Rosa rugosa (rugosa rose), 1032 nucleotides. RefSeq lists it as uncharacterized. The transcript is spliced from 4 exons. The record is from RefSeq and is a predicted model, not a curated record. NCBI's taxonomy places the organism in Eukaryota, Viridiplantae, Streptophyta, Magnoliopsida, Rosales, Rosaceae.